Non-coding RNA from Lolium perenne, 360 nucleotides. NCBI's taxonomy places the organism in Eukaryota, Viridiplantae, Streptophyta, Magnoliopsida, Poales, Poaceae. The record is from RefSeq and is a predicted model, not a curated record.
UGCUGAUGGUGGAUCCAUAGCGUGCACAGGGUAGAAAAACCACUUGGACACUAAAUUUAUACUCGUUUAUUUGAACAGGGAGAGCAGGUAGUAUGACAUUAACAAUUUAACUGAACAGUAGUACAAACAUCAGAAAAGGUGUCAAAUAUCCAAGUCUUCAUCUUACAUAGGUUCGUGGCAACACAGCAAAUCCUACUAGUUCUACCGUGUGUUCUCAAACCCUGCACAGCGCACGCGCUUAUUACUUUCCCAUUACUAUAACAACCUCCUAUCUUCUGAAACAUGUUCUGAAUAACCAAAACCAACAAACUGAACAUGACAAUCCAGAUGAGAAGCGCUGUGGGCUGUGGCAGCCUAUGU